GACGAACGCUGGCGGCGUGCUUAACACAUGCGAGUCGAACGGUAAGGCCUUUCGGGGUACACGAGUGGCGAACGGGUGAGUAACACGUGGGUGAUCUGCCCUGCACUUCGGGAUAAGCCCGGGAAACUGGGUCUAAUACCGGAUAGGACUGCGCGGUGCAUGCCGUGUGGUGGAAAGAUUUAUCGGUGCAGGAUGGGCCCGCGGCCUAUCAGCUUGUUGGUGGGGUAAUGGCCUACCAAGGCGACGACGGGUAGCCGGCCUGAGAGGGCGACCGGCCACACUGGGACUGAGACACGGCCCAGACUCCUACGGGAGGCAGCAGUGGGGAAUAUUGCACAAUGGGCGCAAGCCUGAUGCAGCGACGCCGCGUGAGGGAUGACGGCCUUCGGGUUGUAAACCUCUUUCAGCAGGGACGAAGCGUGAGUGACGGUACCUGCAGAAGAAGCACCGGCCAACUACGUG
Molecule: ribosomal RNA, 462 nt
Filed under: uncultured bacterium
Lineage: Bacteria
Description: partial 16S ribosomal RNA
Rfam family: Bacterial small subunit ribosomal RNA
Source: RNAcentral